RNAcentral lists this transfer RNA (85 nucleotides) under Methylopila capsulata. RNAcentral's name for it is "tRNA-Tyr". It matches the Rfam family "tRNA". From Rfam's summary of the family: Transfer RNA (tRNA) molecules are approximately 80 nucleotides in length. Their secondary structure includes four short double-helical elements and three loops (D, anti-codon, and T loops). The record is from RNAcentral. Lineage: Bacteria; Pseudomonadati; Pseudomonadota; Alphaproteobacteria; Hyphomicrobiales; Methylopilaceae. RNAcentral also lists the same sequence under 1 other name.
GGAGGGGUGCCCGAGUGGUUAAAGGGGACGGACUGUAAAUCCGUUGGCUCAGCCUACGUUGGUUCAAAUCCAACCCCCUCCACCA